RNAcentral lists this ribosomal RNA (190 nucleotides) under uncultured bacterium. Its description in RNAcentral is "partial 16S ribosomal RNA". It matches the Rfam family "Bacterial small subunit ribosomal RNA", at positions 338 to 525 of the family's 1533-position model. The record is from RNAcentral.
CCUACGGGAGGCAGCAGUGAGGAAUAUUGGACAAUGGGCGCAAGCCUGAUCCAGCCAUGCCGCGUGCAGGAUGACGGUCCUAUGGAUUGUAAACUGCUUUUGUACAGGAAGAAACACCUCUACGUGUAGAGACUUGACGGUACUGUAAGAAUAAGGAUCGGCUAACUCCGUGCCAGCAGCCGCGGUAAUA